Molecule: transfer RNA, 83 nt
Filed under: Gordonia phage Cucurbita
Lineage: Duplodnaviria; Heunggongvirae; Uroviricota; Caudoviricetes
Description: tRNA-OTHER
Rfam family: tRNA
About the family: Transfer RNA (tRNA) molecules are approximately 80 nucleotides in length.
Source: RNAcentral
GCCCCCGGUAGCUCAAUUGGCAGAGCAGCGGUGCACCGUAAAACAGAGAGCAAGGAUGUGGGUUCAAAUCCCACCCGGGGCGC